Fukomys damarensis (Damara mole-rat) is the source of this 472-nucleotide long non-coding RNA. RefSeq lists it as uncharacterized. The transcript is spliced from 3 exons. Lineage: Eukaryota; Metazoa; Chordata; Mammalia; Rodentia; Bathyergidae. The record is from RefSeq and is a predicted model, not a curated record.
UCAUAGUGCAAUCAUCUUACUGUAUUUCUGCUCCCCUAAUUUGAAACAGAUUCAGCCUUGUCCAGAUGGCUUCCUGUAUACACAAUGCCAGUCAGCAGGCUGGGCUGUCCUUGUUAGACUGCCUGGCAAUGCUGGAAUCUUGGAGACAACAGCAUGCUUAUGUCACAAGCCACAUCUGUCACGGCAGGAUUUGUGUUUUUCCUCAGGUUAAUAAUAACUGAUGGAGGCACCAAGUCGCUUUCCCUUAAAAGCACGGAGUCUGAAUAUCAGUUUAGGAAGAGGUGCUUCAAAGAUCAAAACCAGGCCUGUGACAGUGACAUAAUUGCUCAUCAUUGAGACCAAGAAAAUGCAUCACAAGGUUAAAAGUUGCUGAAACUAUUUGAUCCAGAAAUGAUGCCAAAAACUUUACCAAAAAAUUCCUUUAAUUCUCACAAAACCCUAUAAGAAUAAGAAUACUUAGUAAGAACCAAGA